Fragaria vesca subsp. vesca is the source of this 3762-nucleotide RNA transcript. RefSeq lists it as uncharacterized. Lineage: Eukaryota; Viridiplantae; Streptophyta; Magnoliopsida; Rosales; Rosaceae. The record is from RefSeq and is a predicted model, not a curated record. The transcript is spliced from 2 exons.
AAGUUUCAGAGUAAUUUAUAUACUUGUAUUUGCUUAGUUGUGAUUUUGAGAUAUAUGAGGAUUUGAAAUGUGAUAUUGAAUUGCAAAGACUUGAGCUUGUUAGAUAGAUGAAGUAAGUAGAAUUGGGUUUUGCAAAGUCUGAUUGUUUUUGAGUUUUGGGUUGUGUGUGAAUGAAGGUAGAAGAUGUCGAAAUUUGAAGGGGGGAGGAAAAUGGGUGGGGAUUCGAAAUUGUUGAAUGAGAUUGAGACUAUAAGCAAGGCUCUGUAUGUUGACAAAAGGCCCUCCAGGAGUAGUAGUUCAGUUUCUUCGGGGAGUUAUGUGCCGAAAUUGCAAGGGAAGACGCUUUUGCCUGAUCCAAAGUCGAAGCCGAAGCCGAAGCCUGGUGGGGAUGACUUAUUGCUCAAAGAGAAGAAGUCAUUUUGGAAUUGGAAGCCCUUGAAGGCGUGGACUCAUAUCCGGAACCGGAGAUUUAACUGCUGCUUUUCCCUUGAAGUUCAUUCCGUUGAAGGGUUGCCGUUGGAUUUGCAGAAUAUUAGUCUGUGUGUGCAUUGGAAGAGGAGGGAUGCGAUUUUCGUUACUAAUCCGACGAAGGUUGUUCAAGGUGUGGCGAAAUUUGAUGAGAAAUUGACUCACACAUGCUCAGUGUACGGUAGUAGGAGUGGACCACAUCAUUCGGCAAAGUAUGAAGCAAAGCAUUUCUUGCUGUAUGCUUCUGUGUUUGGUGCACCAGAACUUGAUUUGGGAAAGCAUAGGGUUGAUCUCACGAGGUUGCUUCCUCUGACGUUGGAGGAAUUAGAGGAGGAGAAGAGCUCAGGGAACUGGACAACGAGUUUUAAACUAUCAGGAAAGGCUAAAGGUGCAAUCCUGAAUGUUAGUUUUGGGUAUACGGUGCUUGGGGAUAAUUCUAGUGCCUCAAGAAAUAGUCAGAAUGCUCCUGACGGAGUGCUUUCGAGGCAGACUAACUCGAGUUUGGCAAAAGUAGGGACCAAAUAUGGUCAGGUUGAUGCCAGGAGAAGUAUGCAGCGUGGUGAAAGUCUUCCUAGUCAGCGUUCAAGGGCCUCAUCUCGUUCUGUAGAGAAUUUAAAGGAUCUUCAUGAGGUUUUACCGAUAUCAAAGUCAGAACUAUCUAGUUCAGUUGAUGAACUCUAUCAGAAAUUUGAUGAAGAAGAGAAGUCGGGUACUCCAGCUGUUUACAAGCCUGAACUUGAAGUGCUCGUUGAAACUGUUGAGCCUAUUUCUAGUAAACUAACAGUAGAGAAUGAGUGUGAAGAGGAUGACUUUUCUGUAGUUGAGCAGGGGAUAGAACUGCCAUCAAAGGAAGUGAUGGAGUCAGAAGUUGUUACGGAGGCUACUGAUGCUUCUGCAGCAGAAGGUCAUGUUGCUGAAACCCCCACUGGUCUACAGGUAGCUGCUGAACAAGGAACUGAGCUCCAUUCCCAGGUUGAGGGUCAAAAUGGUUGUACAGAAGGGCUUGUGCUAUGUAAUUCCAGUUCCAAAGAAGAUGGCUUAUGCACCAGAGAAUCACUUAUGCAAGAGCUAGAGUCGGCUUUAAGUAUUGUGUCAGAUUUGGAGGCAGAAGGACUAGAAUCUCCUGAUGAGGACCUAAAAUGUUAUGUAGAUGAUACACUAUAUAAAAGAAAUGUGAUGGGGAGUGCAUCUAGCUUGGAUGAUGUUACAGAAUCUGUUGCCAAUGAGUUCUUGAGCAUGCUCGGGAUAGAGCAAAGUCCAUCUUGUAUUAGCUUUGAGAGUGAACCCGAGUCUCCAAGAGAGCGUCUGCUAAGACAGUUUGAGAAGGAGACGCUUGCCGCGGGUUGUUCUUUGUUUGAUGAUUUUGACAUAGUAACUGAUGAACAACCAGAAUGCAGCUACAAUGAUGCAACCGGGUCUGAUUGGGGCCACCUAUCUGAGAGUUUUGAUCUAUCUUCCAUGAUUCAAGCUGCAGAGGAGGAGCAUCUGAUGGCAGCACAACCAGCAAAAAGUAAAGCAAAGGCCAAAAAUGUUGGAAGACUUGGAGACAGAAGCAUUAAUGCGUGAGUGGGGUUUGAAUGAGAUGGCUUUUCAGCAUUCUCCACCAAAAAGCUCUUCUGGUUUUGGAAGUCCUUUGGACACACCUCUUGAAGAUCCACUUGAAUUGCCUUCCCUUGGAGAAGGGAUAGGCCCUUUUCUUCAGACAAAGAAUGGAGGAUUUGUACGGUCCAUGAAUCCCACACUUUUCAAAAAUGCUAAAAGUGGUGGGGACUUGAUCAUGCAGGUUUCCAGCCCAGUUGUGGUACCAGCAGAAAUGGGCUCUGGGGUAAUAGAUAUAUUGCAGCAUUUGGCAUCAGUAGGAAUCGAGAAGCUUUCUAUGCAGGCAAAUAAGUUAAUGCCCUUGGAAGAUAUAACUGGAAAGACAAUGGAGCAAGUAGCUUGGGAAGCUAUGCCUGCUUUGGAAGGACCUCAAAGGGAUUGUAGCUCGCAGCAUGAAUCAGUUGUUGGGCAAGAUGUACCAGAUGCGCGAACGAGAGUUAAAGGAAGUUCAUCCGGGCCCAAGUCUAAGACGUCUAAGAAAAACACAGUUGGCAAUGAGAUGGCCUCAGAAUAUGUUUCUUUGGAAGAUCUUGCACCUUUAGCCAUGGAUAAAAUUGAAGCACUUUCAAUUGAGGGGUUGAGAAUACAGUCUGGGAUGUCAGAUGUGGAUGAACCUUCAAGCAUCAGCACAGAUUCUGUUAUGCAAAACCCAGCUCCCCAGGGCAAGGGUGUUAAUGUUGGCGAACUCCUGGGUUUGGAGGGAGCUGCUGGCUUGCAGUUAAUGGACAUAAAAGAUGGUGGCAAUGAUGUUGAUGGACUAAUGGGCCUUUCACUAACUCUUGAUGAAUGGAUGAAACUUGAUUCUGGUGAAAUUGACGAUGAAGAUCAUAUUAGUGAGAGAACUACCCAAAUCCUUGCGGCGCAUCAUGCAAACUCUUUGGACAUGAUUCGUGGAGGAUCGAAAGGAGAGAGAAGGCGUGGCAAAGGAGCCAGAAAGUGUGGUUUAUUGGGGAAUAAUUUCACAGUAGCAUUAAUGGUGCAACUUCGUGAUCCUCUAAGAAACUAUGAGCCGGUUGGAGCUCCAAUGCUUGCUCUUAUUCAAGUUGAGAGGGUGUUUCUCCCACCAAAGCCCAAGAUUUACAGCACCGUUUCUGAAGUAAGGAAAAGUAAUGAAGAGGAAGAUGAGUCUGGGUCAGUGGUGAAAGAGGACAUUAAGGAGGAGAAAAAAGAUGAGAAACUUCCUGAAGAGGAAAGUAUUCCUCAGUUUAAAAUCACUGAAGUCCAUGUCGCUGGUCUGAAAACUGAACCUGGAAAAAAGAAGCUAUGGGGUAAUACAAACCAGCAACAAUCAGGUUCGCGCUGGUUGCUUGCAAAUGGAAUGGGGAAAAACAAUAAGCAUCCUUUUUUGAAGUCAAAGGCCAAGGCUGGCUCCGAAAUCUUCUACCUCGGCAACAACAAAGGUGCAGCCCGGUGAUACAUUGUGGAGCAUCUCAGCUCGUGUCCAUGGUGAUGGAUCAAAUGGAAGGAAUUGGCAACACUAAAUCCACACAUAAGGAAUCCCAAUGUUAUUUUACCAAAUGAAACUAUCAGAUUGUGCUGAGUGCUUGGUGGCCUUGAGUUCUGCCCUUUUGUGGGAUUUUGAUCCAUUCAGCUGGGGUGUAACUGGAGUCCAUGUAAAGAGGUAGUUCACAGAGUCCAGACUCCAGACAAGGUUGAUUGUUGUGCUUGUGAAGUUAUUCUUGUAUUUGCUUGAAA